CAAUAGCGUAUAUUAAAGUUGUUGCAGUUAAAAAGCUCGUAGUUGGAUUUCUGGUGGGAGCGAUCGGUCUGGCGCUUAGCGCGAGUACUUGCAUCGUCUCCGGCCAUCCUUGGGGAGAGUCUGUCUGGCAUUAAGUUGUCGGGCAGAGGAUCCUCAUCGUUUACUGUGAAAAAAUUAGAGUGUUCAAAGCAGGCUUAUGCCGUUGAAUAUAUUAGCAUGGAAUAAUAAGAUAGGACUUUGGUACUAUUUUGUUGGUUUGCGCACCAAAGUAAUGAUUAAUAGGGACAGUUGGGGGUAUUCGUAUUCCUUUGUCAGAGGUGAAAUUCUUGGAUUUACGGAAGACGAACUACUGCGAAAGCAUUUACCAAGGAUGUUUUCAUUAA
RNAcentral lists this ribosomal RNA (383 nucleotides) under uncultured eukaryote. RNAcentral describes it as "partial 18S ribosomal RNA". It matches the Rfam family "Eukaryotic small subunit ribosomal RNA", at positions 592 to 976 of the family's 1831-position model. The record is from RNAcentral.